AAAUUGAAGAGUUUGAUCAUGGCUCAGAUUGAACGCUGGCGGCAGGCCUAACACAUGCAAGUCGAACGGUAACAGGAAGCAGCUUGCUGCUUUGCUGACGAGUGGCGGACGGGUGAGUAAUGUCUGGGAAACUGCCUGAUGGAGGGGGAUAACUACUGGAAACGGUGGCUAAUACCGCAUAACGUCGCAAAACCAAAGAGGGGGACCUUCGGGCCUCUUGCCAUCAGAUGUGCCCAGAUGGGAUUAGCUUGUUGGUGAGGUAACGGCUCACCAAGGCGACGAUCCCUAGCUGGUCUGAGAGGAUGACCAGCCACACUGGAACUGAGACACGGUCCAGACUCCUACGGGAGGCAGCAGUGGGGAAUAUUGCACAAUGGGCGCAAGCCUGAUGCAGCCAUGCCGCGUGUAUGAAGAAGGCCUUCGGGUUGUAAAGUACUUUCAGCGGGGAGGAAGGUGUUG
RNAcentral lists this ribosomal RNA (459 nucleotides) under Salmonella enterica subsp. enterica serovar Typhimurium var. 5-. RNAcentral describes it as "bacterial SSU rRNA". It matches the Rfam family "Bacterial small subunit ribosomal RNA", at positions 1 to 456 of the family's 1533-position model. Lineage: Bacteria; Pseudomonadati; Pseudomonadota; Gammaproteobacteria; Enterobacterales; Enterobacteriaceae. The record is from RNAcentral.